This 248-nucleotide ribosomal RNA is filed under the name uncultured bacterium. RNAcentral's name for it is "partial 16S ribosomal RNA". It matches the Rfam family "Bacterial small subunit ribosomal RNA", at positions 32 to 273 of the family's 1533-position model. The record is from RNAcentral.
AAUCAACGCUGGCGGCGUGCCUAACACAUGCAAGUCGAACGGGAAAGUGGAGCAAUCCAUGAGUAUAGUGGCGACCGGGUGAGUAACACGUGACUAACCUACCUUCAAGUGGGGGAUAACCUCGGGAAACCGGGGCGUAAUACCGCAUAAUAUCCUUGUUAUGAGAAAGCAGGGAUCAAAGGAGCAAUUCGCUGGAAGAGGGGGUCGCGGCUGAUUAGCUAGUUGGUGGGGUAAGUGGCCCACCAAGG